RNAcentral lists this unclassified non-coding RNA (859 nucleotides) under Hevea brasiliensis (rubber tree). Lineage: Eukaryota; Viridiplantae; Streptophyta; Magnoliopsida; Malpighiales; Euphorbiaceae. The record is from RNAcentral.
GCAAGCUAUAAUCAAAGGAAUAGAAAAGGUGAAACAGGAGCUGUUGGCAUCAGAGAAUGAUGGUCCUGUAUCUGAAGUUUUCCAUAAGACUUUGAAAGAAUUCAUUUCUGUUGCUGAGACAGAGGUGGCAUCUGUGACAAAUCUAUAUUCUGUUGUGGGUAGAAACGCAGAUGCACUUGCACUUUAUUUUGGUGAGGAUCCUGCCCGUUGCCCAUUUGAGCAAGUUACCGCAACUCUAUUAAAUUUUGUGAGGUUGCUCCGCAAAGCACAUGAAGAAAAUUUGAAACAGGCUGAAUUGGAAAAGAAGAAAGCUGAGAAGGAAGCUGAAAUGGAGAAGGCAAAGGGAAUAAAUCUUACAAAAAAGAGUGACACAUAGUUGUGAAUUGAUAUGUUGCUUCCCCUACAUGGCAGUGUGAGCUCCCUGCCACACAGCGGACUUUGUGCCGCAUUGUUUUUUUAGUCAGUGACGGCAAAAAUUGCUGCUGAGGACCUCAGCUCCAACUUCUCCAUUACAGAGUGAAAUAAGCCUCACAAGGUGAAAUAGGCAAAGGUGAAAAGGCUAUUCCUUGAGGCUUGUGGAGCUUAAAGCAUGCAAAAGGCUUAUUCAAUCAGAUGAUGAGUUCAACACAUUAGAUUUUACACGGAUCAUGUUUUUGCAAAAUAGAGUGGUUAAAUAUGUCGGCGUAGUGAAUCGUACAGUGCAGAAUAUAUUUGAGGAGAUGAUAUGGCCCUUGGCAUUUGUUCUUCAAGAAAUUCUGUAUGAUUUUGUCGUUUGGUUUGGCAGCACCAGAGCAGAGCAGAUGCCUUGAGUAAUCUAAAGCACAAUGCAGCUCUGUACCAUGAGACCAUGUACAAAGCU